This 713-nucleotide ribosomal RNA is filed under the name Flexibacteraceae bacterium K439. RNAcentral describes it as "bacterial SSU rRNA". It matches the Rfam family "Bacterial small subunit ribosomal RNA", at positions 44 to 755 of the family's 1533-position model. Lineage: Bacteria; Pseudomonadati; Bacteroidota; Cytophagia; Cytophagales; Cytophagaceae. The record is from RNAcentral.
AGUCCUAAUACAUGCAAGUCGAACGAGAUUUGAGACUUCGGUUUCAAUGAAAGUGGCGCACGGGUGCGUAACACGUAUGCAACCUACCUCUUACAGGGGGAUAGCCCGGGGAAACCCGGAUUAAUACCCCAUGGUACUAUUGAUUGGCAUCAUGAGAUAGUUAAAGAUUUAUCGGUAAGAGAUGGGCAUGCGUCUGAUUAGCUAGUUGGUGGUGUAACGGACCACCAAGGCGACGAUCAGUAGGGGUUCUGAGAGGAAGGUCCCCCACACUGGCACUGAGAUACGGGCCAGACUCCUACGGGAGGCAGCAGUAGGGAAUAUUGGGCAAUGGGCGAGAGCCUGACCCAGCCAUGCCGCGUGCAGGAAGACGGCCUAUUGGGUUGUAAACUGCUUUUAUCUGGGAAGAAAAUGCUCCUGCGGGGGAAAUUGCCGGUACCAGAUGAAUAAGCACCGGCUAACUCCGUGCCAGCAGCCGCGGUAAUACGGAGGGUGCAAGCGUUGUCCGGAUUUAUUGGGUUUAAAGGGUGCGUAGGCGGCCUGUUAAGUCAGCGGUGAAAGACCACGGCUCAACCGUGGCAGUGCCGUUGAUACUGGCAGGCUUGAGUGCUGCAGGGGUACAUGGAAUUGAUGGUGUAGCGGUGAAAUGCAUAGAUACCAUCAGGAACACCGAUAGCGAAGGCAUUGUACUGGGCAGCAACUGACGCUGAUGCACG